ACGAACGCUGGCGGCGUGCUUAACACAUGCCCGUCGAACGGAAAGGCCCUGCUUUUGUGGGGUGCUCGAGUGGCGAACGGGUGAGUAACACGUGAGUAACCUGCCCUUGACUUUGGGAUAACUUCAGGAAACUGGGGCUAAUACCGGAUAGGAGCUCCUGCUGCAUGGUGGGGGUUGGAAAGUUUCGGCGGUUGGGGAUGGACUCGCGGCUUAUCAGCUUGUUGGUGGGGUAGUGACUUACCAAGGCUUUGACGGGUAGCCGGCCUGAGAGGGUGACCGGCCACAUUGGGACUGAGAUACGGCCCAGACUCCUACGGGAGGCAGCAGUGGGGAAUAUUGCACAAUGGGCGGAAGCCUGAUGCAGCAACGCCGCGUGCGGGAUGACGGCCUUCGGGUUGUAAACCGCUUUCGCCUGUGACGAAGCGUGAGUGACGGUAAUGGGUAAAGAAGCACCGGCUAACUACGUG
RNAcentral lists this ribosomal RNA (467 nucleotides) under uncultured bacterium. RNAcentral describes it as "partial 16S ribosomal RNA". It matches the Rfam family "Bacterial small subunit ribosomal RNA", at positions 29 to 507 of the family's 1533-position model. The record is from RNAcentral.